UCCUCGUUAGUAUGGUGGUGAGUAUCCCUGCCUGUCACGCGGGAGACCAGGGUUCGAUUCCCUGACAGAGAG
Molecule: transfer RNA, 72 nt
Filed under: Pongo abelii (Sumatran orangutan)
Lineage: Eukaryota; Metazoa; Chordata; Mammalia; Primates; Hominidae
Rfam family: tRNA
About the family: Transfer RNA (tRNA) molecules are approximately 80 nucleotides in length.
Source: Rfam by way of RNAcentral